UAGCUCAGCGGUAUAAGCACCUGCCUUGCAAGCAGGCGGUCGUGAGUUCAAUCCCCAC
This 58-nucleotide transfer RNA is filed under the name Cavia porcellus (domestic guinea pig). It matches the Rfam family "tRNA", at positions 8 to 63 of the family's 71-position model. From Rfam's summary of the family: Transfer RNA (tRNA) molecules are approximately 80 nucleotides in length. Their secondary structure includes four short double-helical elements and three loops (D, anti-codon, and T loops). The record is from Rfam by way of RNAcentral. Lineage: Eukaryota; Metazoa; Chordata; Mammalia; Rodentia; Caviidae.